This 479-nucleotide long non-coding RNA is filed under the name Lathyrus oleraceus (garden pea). RNAcentral describes it as "Pisum sativum (pea) long non-coding RNA (PSAT_LNC001783)". The record is from RNAcentral. Lineage: Eukaryota; Viridiplantae; Streptophyta; Magnoliopsida; Fabales; Fabaceae.
UCAGUUUCUCAGAUUGGGUUCAGAUGACAGUUGACCAGUUGACUUUGGGUUUCAGAUGGUUGUGAUCAGAGUUCGAGCCGAAGCUUCGAUCCUGUGUCCAGAUAUGCACAACUUGCCAGUCGUGUCUGCAUCAUGUGCAUCAUAGCAUGUUUAUUUUUCAAAAGAAACACAAUCAACAAAAAAAAAGAAUCAAUAAAAAAAUUGAAAAAAAAAGAGAAAAAAAAAUGAUCUCUGCAUGCAUAUCAUUUCUCAGGUACAUUCCAGAGUCUGUUCAACUGAUAGAUCCGGGUGCUCAUUUACAGAUGAAAUUGUUGGUUUCAUUCGGUACUCAUUGCUCUUGUAUACUGUGUCGUUGUUGCAGAUUGCUUUUUUUUUCGAAGAUGAAUCAGGCUCUUUGAAGGCCUGAGAAAUGAUCAUUAUCAUGUGCAUCAUAUGCAUUAGCAUCAUAAUCAUAACAUGUUGCAUAACAGGUGUUCUAG